This 403-nucleotide ribosomal RNA is filed under the name uncultured bacterium. RNAcentral's name for it is "partial 16S ribosomal RNA". It matches the Rfam family "Bacterial small subunit ribosomal RNA", at positions 28 to 526 of the family's 1533-position model. The record is from RNAcentral.
GACGAACGCUGGCGGCGUGCCUAAUACAUGCAAGUCGAACGCAGUGGGGACGGGUGAGUAACCCGUGGGUAACCUCCAAUCAGAGGGGAUAAACCUUUGAAACAGGUGCUAAACCGAUACUGAUGGAUGGACCCGCGGUGCAUUAGCUAGUUGGUGAGGUAACGGCGCACCAAGGCCACGAAGCAUAGCCGACUUGAUAGGGUGAUCGGACACACUGGGACUUAUGCACGGCCCAGACUCCUACGGGAGGCAGCAGUAGGGAAUCUUCGGCAAUGGACGAAAGUCUGACCGAGCAACGCCGCGUGAGUGAAGAAGGUUUUCGGAUCUUAAAACUCUGUUGUUAGAGAAGCGGUAUCUAACCAGAAAGCCACGGCUAACUACGUGCCAGCCGCCGCGGUAAUUC